CCUUGACAUACUAAGAACUUUCCAGAGAUGGAUUGGUGCCUUCGGGAACUUAGAUACAGGUGCUGCAUGGCUGUCGUCAGCUCGUGUCGUGAGAUGUUGGGUUAAGUCCCGCAACGAGCGCAACCCUUUUCCUUAUUUGCCAGCGGGUCAUGCCGGGAACUUUAAGGAUACUGCCAGUGACAAACUGGAGGAAGGCGGGGACGACGUCAAGUCAUCAUGGCCCUUACGGCCAGGGCUACACACGUGCUACAAUGGUCGGUACAAAGGGUUGCUACCUCGCGAGAGGAUGCUAAUCUCAAAAAGCCGAUCGUAGUCCGGAUCGCAGUCUGCAACUCGACUGCGUGAAGUCGGAAUCGCUAGUAAUCGCGGAUCAGAAUGCCGCGGUGAAUACGUUCCCGGGCCUUGUACACACCGCCCGUCACACCAUGGGAGUUUGUUGCACCAGAAGUAGAUAGUCUAACCGCAAGGAGGACGCUUACCACGGUGUGGCCGAUGACUGGGGUGAAGUCGUAACAAGGUAGGCGUAGAUGA
RNAcentral lists this ribosomal RNA (531 nucleotides) under uncultured bacterium. RNAcentral's name for it is "bacterial SSU rRNA". It matches the Rfam family "Bacterial small subunit ribosomal RNA", at positions 979 to 1509 of the family's 1533-position model. The record is from RNAcentral.